This is a long non-coding RNA of Amphiprion ocellaris (clown anemonefish), 8926 nucleotides long. RefSeq lists it as uncharacterized. Lineage: Eukaryota; Metazoa; Chordata; Actinopteri; Pomacentridae. The transcript has 4 exons. The record is from RefSeq and is a predicted model, not a curated record.
UCAUCAUUCUGUGCCAGACCGUGAAGGAUCUACAGUCAGUCUUUGCACCGUUCACUCCAGCCUCCAAACUGUGUAAACUGGUAACUGUUGUCUUUGCUUCCUCCUAGUCUGGAUCCCGGCCGUUCGUGUCCACCUGCUCCCGCUGUUCUUGGAUCAAAGAACCCUGGCUGCAACAACUCACCUGGUCAGUCUCCCCCGUUUCCUGGACGCCGCAGCCUCCAGAACAGCUGCAUGCCACCCAGAGCUUCCCAGCGUCCAACUCCCCCUCAUCUAGGUCUACACCUGGUCCCCUUUCAGUCCAUUCACGCUGAACCUCAGCACGAGCAUUCCAGACUAAGUGAAAGUAGCAGUUCCUCCUGAAGGUCAGAGAUUGCAGCAUCUGAGGGCCUCUUCAAAAGAAGACGUAGUUGAUGAAGACGUUCUGGAGCAGGACCAGAAAGACCACGACCAAGCAGCCUUGAGAUCUUAGGCAGCGUCUCCCUCAGGUCCCUCUCUAUCUCCCCACAUAUCCACCAACCACUGGAACACAUCUCCAAAGUUCUGCUGGACCAGCUCAGCUUCCCCUCAGAAGAAGUGCUGCCACCUGCCAGAUGAAGGAGCCUUUUGAGAGGCAGCUGGCAUCGUGAUUGGACUGUACUUUGGUCUGUUCCAAUCCAGCUUCAGCUCCAGAGACGGCAGGCGGGACGAGUCAAUGGAGGCCGGGUGGAUGAAGACAUGCAGCUGAGUACAAUCCAGAAAACAACAGAGGAGGAGUGCAGCAGCCCAGAGCCAGAACAACCAGAGUAGCAUGACCAAAGAACUACAGACUCUUCACAACCUGCUCAAACUCUUGGUACAGGACCUCACCACACGGGUCAAGAAGGUUUCUGUCUCAUUUCUACUCUGAAGCUCACCUUCUCCUGCUCAAACUGCUGACAAAUGUUUCUGCUGCUCUAAAGUCUGGUCUCCAGAACUUCCUAAAAACUCUCAAAGUCUCUUCUGCUGCAGGUUGCUUUGUAGAACUGUUCCAGAAAACCUCACUAAACCACAUGGAGGAGCCUCAAGAUAGUCGUCCAAAUGAAACCAUACAAAAACCAAACUAGUACAACCCAAACGCUAAAGUCUCCUGCAGCCUACCAGAGAACCUCUGAGAACAGAGAAUCAGGACAGGAACUCUUACCUUCUGGACAACCAACGCUGGUUCUCAAACAAGAAUACAGAAUGUGUCUGACCAAAAACCUCUGAAGACUCACUACAGCCAAGAUAAAGACACAACUCAGCUGCACCAAAUCCACUAAUCACUGCACACAUUAGCACCAUGUGCUAACUGUGACUAAAGAACCACAUUUACCAAGACAACUAUCCAGUACAAAGCCCUAAAACACACCAAGAAACACAUUAAAGAUGAUUUUACUGCUGGAAGCUGCAAGCCAACGCCUAAAGAACAAACUGAAGCAAUGGAGCCAAACCCGGUUCAGUGGUGAAGAGAAACAGAGGAAAUGUUUGGCUGCAGCCACAUGAAGCAGGAAGACACUGAGCUGCUCAGGUGUUCCUGACAACACCAAGCAGCCACCUGGACAGCCAAUAGGAACACAGCCACAUGGACAGCCAAUAGGAACACAGCUUCCUGGAAAUCCAGAGGGCUGGCUUAGUCAAGGAAAUUUAAUUUAAAGUUGAAGCAGAAAGUUAACAAAGAAAGUUGAAAACCACCUUCUGAUCCCUGAAAUCUCUGAGUUUUCACACAAAGAACACCUGAACAUGUCAAACUGGUUCCAUAGUAGAACCGUCACACACUGUUAUCUACAUCUCUCUACAUCAUUUUGCCAUGAAUGAGUGAUACAUCUUCAGAACAGGAUCUUUCAGUAAAUCUGGGACUUUUGGAUGAAGUAUUUGACCAGAUGUCUCCAGAUUACCACAGGAUUCCAAACCUGUUUGUAGUUUUGUGAAAUUUUGGACGACAUACUAAACUAUGACAUUUUUGUGACAUUUUACCUUGAAAAACACUCCAGAAAGGUUUUAUUUGAAAAAAACUCAUCAUGAAUUUUGGCGCAAAAAAAAAUGCAAUUUUUCAACAUGUUGUAAAAACGUGCCAUAUGAUGAAAUAAUGUAAAGGAGGCUGUGAAAAACACUCCAGAAAGGUUUUCGUUGAAAAAAAAAAUCAUCAUGAAUUUUGGUGCAAAAAAAACGCCUUACUAUACUAUGUAGAAAAAAAAUGCGAUUUUUCAAACAUAUUGUAAAAACGUGCCAUAUGAUGAAAUAAUGUAAAGGAGGCCAUGAAAAACACUCCAGAAAGGUUUCCGUUGAGAAAAAAAAAAAGAAUUUUGGCGCAAAAAAAACGCCUUACUAUACUAUGUCGAAAAAAAAUGCGAUUUUUCAACAUGUUGUAAAAACGUGCCAUAUGAUGAAAUAAUGUAAAGGAGGCUGUGAAAAACACUCCAGAAAGGUUUUCGUUGAAAAAAAAAAUCAUCAUGAAUUUUGGUGCAAAAAAAACGCCUUACUAUACUAUGUCGAAAAAAAAUGCGAUUUUUCAAACAUAUUGUAAAAACGUGCCAUAUGAUGAAAUAAUGUAAAGGAGGCCGUGAAAAACACUCCAGAAAGGUUUUCGUUGGAAAAAAAAAAAAAAAAUUUUGGCGCAAAAAUACGCCUUACUAUACUAUGUCGAAAAAAAAUGCGAUUUUUCAAACAUGUUGUAAAAACGUGCCAUAUGAUGAAAUAAUGUAAAGGAGGCUGUGAAAAACACUCCAGAAAGGUUUUCGUUGAAAAAAAAAAUCAUCAUGAAUUUUGGUGCAAAAAAAACGCCUUACUAUACUAUGUCGAAAAAAAAUGCGAUUUUUCAAACAUAUUGUAAAAACGUGCCAUAUGAUGAAAUAAUGUAAAGGAGGCCGUGAAAAACACUCCAGAAAGGUUUUCGUUGGAAAAAAAAAAAAAGAAUUUUGGCGCAAAAAUACGCCUUACUAUACUAUGUCGAAAAAAAAUGCGAUUUUUCAAACAUGUUGUCAAAACGUGCCAUAUGAUGAAAUAAUGUAAAGGAGGCUGUGAAAAACACUCCAGAAAGGUUUUCGUUGAAAAAAAAAAUCAUCAUGAAUUUUGGUGCAAAAAAAACGCCUUACUAUACUAUGUCGAAAAAAAAUGCGAUUUUUCAAACAUAUUGUAAAAACGUGCCAUAUGAUGAAAUAAUGUAAAGGAGGCCGUGAAAAACACUCCAGAAAGGUUUUCGUUGGAAAAAAAAAAAAAAAGAAUUUUGGCGCAAAAAUACGCCUUACUGUACUAUGUCGAAAAAAAAUGCGAUUUUUCAAACAUGUUGUCAAAACGUGCCAUAUGAUGAAAUAAUGUAAAGGAGGCUGUGAAAAACACUCCAGAAAGGUUUUCAUUGGAAAAAAAAAAAAAAAGAAUUUUGGCGCAAAAAUACGCCUUACUAUACUAUGUCGAAAAAAAAUGCGAUUUUUCAAACAUGUUGUCAAAACGUGCCAUAUGAUGAAAUAAUGUAAAGGAGGCUGUGAAAAACACUCCAGAAAGGUUUUCGUUGAAAAAAAAAAUCAUCAUGAAUUUUGGUGCAAAAAAAACGCCUUACUAUACUAUGUCGAAAAAAAAUGCGAUUUUUCAAACAUGUUGUAAAAACGUGCCAUAUGAUGAAAUAAUGUAAAGGAGGCCGUGAAAAACACUCCAGAAAGGUUUUCGUUGAAAAAAAAAAUCAUGAAUUUUGGCGCAAAAAAAACGCCUUACUAUACUAUGUCGAAAAAAAAUGCGAUUUUUCAAACAUGUUGUAAAAACGUGCCAUAUGAUGAAAUAAUGUAAAGGAGGCCGUGAAAAACACUCCAGAAAGGUUUUCUUUGAAAAAAAAAAUCAUCAUGAAUUUUGGCGCAAAAAAAACGCCUUACUAUACUAUGUCGAAAAAAAAUGCGAUUUUUCAACAUGUUGUAAAAACGUGCCAUAUGAUGAAAUAAUGUAAAGGAGGCUGUGAAAAACACUCCAGAAAGGUUUUCUUUGAAAAAAAAAUCAUCAUGAAUUUUGGCGCAAAAAAAAACGCCUUACUAUACUAUGUCGAAAAAAAAUGCGAUUUUUCAAACAUGUUGUAAAAACGUGCCAUAUGAUGAAAUAAUGUAAAGGAGGCCGUGAAAAACACUCCAGAAAGGUUUUCGUUGGAAAAAAAAAAAAAAAGAAUUUUGGCGCAAAAAAAAACGCCUUACUAUACUGUCGGGGAAAAAAAUGCGAUUUUUCAGCAUGUAAAAACGUGCCAUAUGAUGAAAUAAUGUAAAGAGGCCAUGAAAAACCUAGUUUUAAUGACGUACUUUUACAGGUUGUAGUCGAUGGAUGGCCACAAAUUUUGAUCCAAAUUUGACCUUGCAUGAAUAUAAGCAGCAGGAAGCAUCAUUAAAAUUCUACUUCCUGUUUCUUUACAUUCAUGUUAAAGACUUUUUUUCAGAUUAAAUGACUUUAAGCUUUCAAAAGAUGCUGAAACUCUGAAAGUGGCUCAAACUUCAUUUUACUGCAGAACGAGUGAACUUUAUACUUUACGUGGAUGUUGUUGACCUGAUGUUGGACUUUAACGUAUCGUAAAGUGUAAAUAUUCGACAGUUUGCUCUUGAAGACAAACAAAUGAGGCGUGUUUAGAGAAAUCUUUCCUUGUUUUUAUUUAUCACACAUUUAGAAAAUGAACCACACUAUACAAAUGUCCACCGUUCAGUGAUGAAUCCUGCGUGAACCAAAGCAACCGGAGCAGAUGACGAAGCCGCUCUGAUUGGCCCACUGACUCUUUAAUUUUACUCGUUAACUCUUUUCAGGUGGUCGCCAUGGUGCAGGUAGGCAGUAGCAUGCAGAAACCUUUGGAUGCAGCGGCGGCUCUCCUCUGAUUGGCUAAUUCAUUAUGUUUUUUUUGCGCUAUGUAAAGACGGGAGGCGGGGCUUAACUCCUCACAGUCUGUAUUUACAACGUGACGACAGGGAGGCGGGACCAGAGUUCUGCCCAGCGACACGCUCACAACAUGGCCGCUGCUCGGAGGGAUCCACACUUUAUUACUCAGACAUAAAAUUAAAAAUUAAAAAAACCAAAGAAAAGAGAACAAAUAAAAGGGAGGAGAGCCGGCGGACAGCUGGGAGGAGCUCAGGCCAGGUAGCUGUAGGUGUCCUUCUCCCCGUCCACUCGCUCCAGAUACUCCUUCUCUAUGAGGAUGUCGAUGCAUUUCUGGCCACAAGAGGGAGACAAAAUGCCGUCAGUAUAUACAGACUAGACAAGCACAGUCUGGUUCAUACGUCCACAGAGAUCCAUAAAAACACUCAUUUAGACACAUUUUAAUGCUAAUUUUGAAGUUUGCCAAGUUCAAGACGAGACGACAAACUAAACUAUGUCGUCCGAAAUGUCUCAAAAACGGCAUAGUCAAUUUAGUACGUCGUCCAAAAUGUCUCAAAAACGUAACUUUUCAGGAGGUUAAAGUUGGAAUUUUAGGAUUUCUUGAUCGAACUUUCAGAUGAUUUCCUCAAAACUUUUCCUGAACAGAAUGUUGUUUAACUUCUCAUUUUGACAGCUGUUAGAAUUUCAAGCUGGUUAGAAAAGUUAGAAAAAAACUCUAAGAAUUCAGGAAUUUAACAAAGAUUGAGGAUUUUAAAGUGCGUCCUGAAGCUCUCACCUUGAUGACGGGGACUCUGGGCUUGAACCGGGACGACAGCUGGUUCAGGACUUCAGCCAGGAGCUGCUGGUGCUUCAGGACCUUCCUCAUCUUCAUGAUCCUCACGAUGGCGGCCUGAAAUCCAAAAACAACCAAAACACAACCGUUUAUCUUCGUCCUCAGAGUCACAAAAACGCAAAAACAUUUAAUUCAACUCUUUUCUGUGAACAAAAUUAAAAAAAAAAAAAAAAAACAAUAUUUAAAUCACAAGCUGCAGAAGGAAAAUGAGCCUUGAAGUAUGUAAAUAUUCAAGUAAACCAGUUUUAGUGCAUUUUUUUUCUAAAAGUGAACCAAAGCUUUAGUGUAAAAAAUAAAACAAAAAAUAAAAAAUUGAUCAGAUUUUUAGUGUGAAAAUAAUAAAUUAAAGCAGAGUUUCAGAGCAGAAUGAUUCAACAAAAAUGAACGAUUUUUGUGAAAAAGUUUUAGAGCAUUUUUUAAAAAAUUUGAUUAACAUUAACCAGCGUUUUAGUGAAAAAUCUUAAGAAAAUAAAAUUGAACUAGAGUUUUAGUGUGAAAAUAUUAAAAUUAACCACAGCUUUAAAGCAAAAUUAAUAAAUUUAACUAGAAUUGUAGUCAAAAUAUUCAAGUGAAUUAAAGUUUUAGUGCAAAAUUAUUAAAUUAAAAUUAACCAGAGUUUUAGUGUAAAAUAAGAAAAUAAAAGUAAACCAGUUUUAGUGUUAGAUUUUACAUUAAACUGAACGUUUUAGUGCAAAAUUAUUCAAUUAAAGUUAAACAGUUUUAGUGUAAAAUUAUUCAAUUAAAAUUACAGUUUUAGUGUAAAAUUAUUCAAUUAAAAUUAAAUACAGUUUUAGUGUAAAAUCAAAAACAAAGUAAACCAGAUUUAGUGCAAAAUUAUUCAAUUAAAAUUAAAUACAGCUUUAGUGUAAAAUUAUUAUAUUUCAAUUAACUAGACUUUUAGUGUAUAAUCAGAUUUUUUUUAAGUAAACCAGAGUUUAAGUGAAAAUAUUAAAGUCAAUUAAAGUUUUAGUGCCAUGUUGUUGUCCAGUUGUUUUGUUUUUUUAUUCUUUUGAUCUGAACAUCACAAUAAAAGCCUGUGUUUUGUUGUUUAUUAAAUAUAUAUCUAAUAUAUAUAAAUGUAAACAUGAGCGGGCCGCUCUGACCUGGAUGAGGAGCUUCCGGUCCUCCUCGAUGUUCUUGUGAGUUGUCUCCUGCUCCUGUUUCUGCUCCGUCUUCAUCGGGACGUUGAUGUUCACCCUCAGCUUCUUACUGCAGAAACAAACAGUCGAUGUUCAGCAACGGCUUCGUCUUUUUAUCGUUGUGAUUAAAAAAAAAAAAAAAAAAAGCAAAGUUUCUCACUUCUUGUAUCCGAGGAAGAGCUUGAUGACAGUGUCGGGUUUGAACUCCACCUCGUCCACGUUGGCGUUCUCGUCCUCCAGAACCUAAGGGUUUGGAUUGAAGGUCAGAGCUGAGUCUAGAAAUCGUUAAAUAAUGAUUAAAAACAUGAAAACCACUGAAAUCUGAGUUUAAAACCUGUCUGGCGCCACCUAGUGCUUCACUGAGAAAAGAUUCAAAGAAAAUGUGAUCAAAUCUCCUCAGAAUCAGAGGAAUUUUAAUUCAGUAGAUUUAAUGAAUCCAUGCUGAGUUUUACCUUUUCAUCAAUAAUUUUUGUGUUUUGAAAGUUUACCCCGAAUACACUUUUUAAGGACUAUUUUCCUGCAGGGUCUCUGAUCUACCGCACGGCUCUAGAGAUGAUCCAGACAUUUGUGUAAAUUUUACUCACCAGCAGCUUCGACUUUAACAAGAUCUGCAGAACUUGAACCAAAAUGUCCUGAAAACAAAACGAAGAAACCGUCGGUAAGCAAACAAAUAGAUGAGUUAGAAGUGGUUUAAGGUGUAAAACGAGUGUUUGUUUCUUCGUACAGUUUUGAUCUGUGUGCUGUCAGUGAGCUGCUGCACGGUGUAGCUGUCCUCCGUGUUGUACUGCAGUAGGAUGGCCAUCUGGAAGGUGGAGGCCUGCAGUGUGUACCUGCCAACAACAAUAACAAAAGGCUCAGUACAACUUUCAAGCACAGAGACUUCAAUGUUUCUGGGUUUUGGCGCCCCCUGCCCACCUGUUCUUGAAGCAGUUGGUGACCAGCUCUCCUUUGGACAGGUGGUACAGCCAGGUGAGCUUCCUGCCGCUGUGUCUGCUGGCGUAGAACGCUGUGAAGCGCUGAUAGCUCCGCUCCAGCUGCAUAAGAACAGAUAAAAGAGGAGGAUUCAGAGCUGUGGUUCUCAAACUGAGGCACUAGGUGGCCUCUCUAAAGCCUCUGAAGGUCUCCAGAACUGAAAACAUCUCUGUAGCCUUGAGUAAAAAGAGAUUAAAAGACGGGAAAAGCUGUUUUUUUUUUUAGCUUUGAAUGGAGUUCAGAUGCUGGAACAAACAAUCCAACAAGACUGUGAGCCUUAAUAGUUGCAUUUUUAUGCCUGUAAGUUAAAUUUCUAGAGAAAAUCAACCUGUUUACUUCUUCCAGAAACUUUCAGAAAUCCCAUGGUAACCAUAAGAAGUUCUAAAAUCUCCAGAUAUCCCGUGCUAACCAUAAGAAAUCCCAAAUUCCCCAGAAAUUUUGUGCUAAUCAGAAAAAGUUCUAAAUUCUCCAGAAAUCCCAUGCUAGCCAGAAGUAGUUCUAAAUUCUCCAGAUAUCCUGGAACAAGCAAACCAAUAAGACUGAAAUUUUAAAGUUGCAGGUUUAUGACUAUGUUAGUUUUCCUCGUUGAAGAAGGCCCAAUUGUGUACCCGCAAAACUAAAAACUCUGCAAAAACACAUUUUUCCCCCCACAGCAGCAAAAGAAUGAAACCUUUUGCAGCUUUUAAGUCAUGCAUUUUGUUUCACUCAAUCAUUAAAUCUGCUCUUCACAGGGUUGUAAAACUGAGUUGUCCAGACGUUGUCUUACCUCUGAAGGCAGAGCGAAGGUGCAGGACUGCUGGAAAGGCCAAGACCCGGAGCUCAGGACCUGGAUACUGAAGUCCACUGUAAAAGAAAUCUAAUUAAUCAGCUGCAGUUCGUCAGGCAAGAAGAGACAGAAAAUUCAAUUUACUGGCUGCACGUCCUUAAAGACACAACCAGCCUCUUAAUCCAUCUCUAUACUUUCACAGUAAAAGGUCUGGUGUGUUUUUUAAAGUUUCUACAAGUGAAUUAUAUUUACCUGGUUCUGCUUUUAAUUCCACAGUCAUUAAAAAUGUAUUUCAACACACACGCGCGCGCGCGCGCACACACACACACACACACACACACACACACACACACACACACACACACACACACACACACACACACACACACA